Molecule: ribosomal RNA, 253 nt
Filed under: uncultured bacterium
Lineage: Bacteria
Description: partial 16S ribosomal RNA
Rfam family: Bacterial small subunit ribosomal RNA
Source: RNAcentral
UACGUAGGGUGCAAGCGUUAAUCGGAAUUACUGGGCGUAAAGGGCGCGUAGGCGGCCUGCUAAGUCGAACGUGAAGUCCCCGGGCUCAACCCGGGAACUGCGUCCGAUACUGGCAGGCUUGAAUCCGGGAGAGGGAUGCGGAAUUCCAGGUGUAGCGGUGAAAUGCGUAGAUAUCUGGAGGAACACCGGUGGCGAAGGCGGCAUCCUGGACCGGCAUUGACGCUGAGGCGCGAAAGCCAGGGGAGCAAACGGG